GAACUGGAAAAUGACCAGUACAAAAUGCACAGACUUUAACUACUCUACCUCCAGCUUACAUUCUACCAGGCCCUUAGGUUAUUUAAUGCUCUGAGUCCUGCCAUAGAGAGAAGAUGAGAGGAACAGGAAGUGGCAGCUUAUUAAAGCUGUUUGUACCUGAGGUAUAUGGACUGCAGUUGACUUUUAGGGCAAGGUCAAAAGUGAGGUCACCAGUCUCAAGUGGACCUGAGAAACCAGAUGGUAUUUUAAGAUGUGAAUAGUUUGUUGUGAGAACAGUCUCAAUAUGUCCCACAGACAGGAACCAAAGCCAGCAGAACAAAGCAGCCCCAGAUGUGUUCUACUCUAUUAUCUCAAGUAAAUGAAAAUCAACCCUGAGGAAUGUGUGGACGGAAGCAGUUCAUCCUGGGAGGUGAGAAUGAGCGUUGAAAGAGCCAUCAGUGAAGCCAUAAGGCUGGGAAAGAGAAGCGAAGGGGCACAUGGAAGUGUUCAUCUCUGGGGCAGGGAGAAACAAUCCGGAGAAGAUGAGUCACACCUCAUUUAUAACCCAUGAAUGAAAAUCAAUACUGUUACUUAUCGUAAAUUACACUGAACAUAGUGCUUACGCUUGAGUAUCAAUGCAGUAAAACCACUAUGAGCCAAUUGAUUGACUUUUCUAGAUCCUAAUUCUAUCAUUCAUCUUCUGGUAUUCAUCUUCUGGCUUAGCUACUAUUUCCUGGCACAGAUUCUUAAUAAAGGUCCUUUCUCCUUGGUCCCAG
Long non-coding RNA from Pongo pygmaeus (Bornean orangutan), 755 nucleotides. RefSeq lists it as uncharacterized. The record is from RefSeq and is a predicted model, not a curated record. NCBI's taxonomy places the organism in Eukaryota, Metazoa, Chordata, Mammalia, Primates, Hominidae. The transcript has 3 exons.